GCGUCUGAUUAGUUAGUUGGUGGGGUAACGGCCUACCAAGACGACGAUCAGUAGCCGGACUGAGAGGUUGAACGGCCACAUUGGGACUGAGAUACGGCCCAGACUCCUACGGGAGGCAGCAGUCGGGAAUAUUGCGCAACGGAGGAAACUCUGACGCAGUGACGCCGCGUGCAGGAAGAAGGUUUUCGGAUUGUAAACUGCUUUAGACAGGGAAGAGAAAGGACAGUACCUGUAGAAUAAGCUCCGGCUAACUACGUGCCAGCAGCCGCGGUAAUACGUAGGGAGCGAGCGUUAUCCGGAUUUAUUGGGUGUAAAGGGUGCGUAGACGGGAAUACAAGUUAGUUGUGAAAUACCUCGGCUUAACUGAGGAACUGCAACUAAAACUAUAUUUCUUGAGUAC
This 400-nucleotide ribosomal RNA is filed under the name uncultured bacterium. RNAcentral's name for it is "bacterial SSU rRNA". It matches the Rfam family "Bacterial small subunit ribosomal RNA", at positions 233 to 649 of the family's 1533-position model. The record is from RNAcentral.